Triticum urartu is the source of this 2517-nucleotide long non-coding RNA. RefSeq lists it as uncharacterized. Lineage: Eukaryota; Viridiplantae; Streptophyta; Magnoliopsida; Poales; Poaceae. The record is from RefSeq and is a predicted model, not a curated record.
CACCUACCAAAAAAAUAGACCUACGAAGGUUAACCAACAAAAAAAGACCUACGAAGGUUAACCAGCGACAAAAAAAAACCUAAACCUAUCGCCCGCUCCCUCGCGCCCCUGUUGCUCCCUCCUCGAUCCCGAUCUGGAUCGAGGGGACGAGGAGCUCCUGCCUCCCCGUCGGCCGGCCUCCUCCUCGCCCCGCCGCUGCGUCCGGCGCCGCCACGGCCUCUGGAGCCAGGGAAGCCAUGGCCUGAGCUUGGCCUCGAGGUCCCCGCCGCCGUCUCCUGCAGCUUCUGCCCCGCCGCCUCACCGCCCGAGCUUGCUGUCGCACCAACCUCGUGUCGAGCAUCCUACCCAUUGGCAGACAGAGAUCAUCGAUGGUUCCGUGUGGCCUUAACCCUGCACCCAUGCCCGCAAUUCUUCUACCUCCUCUCAGCUGCACAAGGAUGGGGAUUGCGAGUUAGGAUGUAAUUUUCCUGUUAAAGUGACACUCCAUGGUAUGUUUGCUUUGAGAAAUUUCUUCCUAUUUUUCUUUUUCUACAAUGUAGAGCACAGUUUAGACAUGUUUCCUUUCUUAAAUCCACCUAUUCCUGAAACUUUAUAUUGAUAUGGUCUUGGUGGUCUCUGGUUUUUGUAAUUAAUCCGAAGGUCUACCUUUCUGGUUUUAAUUACUUAUGUGUGUAUAGAUGCCCAUCUUUCCACAACGUGUUGUUCUUGCAGGAAUUCCUGUUAUAUCAAUGAAAAUCUUACAAGGUAAAAUGAUGGACCUGAAUGGUUCAGACAGACAUAUACUGCAUCAAUGGAAACAAGGGAUGUUCUGUCAAUCUGAUCUUAGUUCUACAGACCUCAGAGUUCUACAGGGACGCAGACUAGCAGCGACACCUCUCUCUAUUGUGCUUCUAUCUGUUCUGUGGAUCAAUUCAGAGUGUUGAUCGUUAUGGGUCGAUAAAAAAAUGUUCAGAAUCUGAUGCGUGGCGAUCAGAUGGUCAAAAAAGUGACGGUGUGUGACGAUCGGACGACCGGAUGAUCGGACGUCUUCUUCUUCAAGCUCCCAGCAUGCCGUACUCUCCAUCUAUUGUCUCUUUCGCACGGCGGGGCAGAGGGAGUUGAUCGAGGACCGCAGCGUCGGCCACCCAGGUACAAGCGUGUGGCGGCGACUGCGAUGCACAUCAGCCUACUGUUCUUCUACCGGUACACAGCGGCCAUGUGCCACCGCCGUGCCCUUCAUUGGCGUCCUCCUGGGACACCUCCAUGUAGCACCAAGGGGAAUAUUUGUUCAGAAUCUUCAGUCUUGUAAUUUUCUCCUUGAUGACAAUGACCAUGCUGUACUGGGGGAUAUGGGAUUCCAUCCUUGCUGUUUGGACUUCCGCUGCCAAAUCCAGAUCUUAUCCAAAGACUUGAGACUCCAAAUUACAUGCCCCAGAACAUUGGCAACCAAACAUCAGAGGCCCAAUUAGUUACGAGACUGACUCAUUGGGGUUUCGCUCGCAGCAUUCUUGAGAUGUUCAGUGGCGUUCAGACUUGGUGUGCCAAAUCACCAGAUGAGAUUUAUCAGUCAGUUGUCCUGAAGAAAGAGAAACCGAUGUUCCUAUACAAUUUACCUAUGGAGGUCGCUAAUGUCCUCUCUGGCUGCUAUGAGUAUGACUUUCGGGAUCACUCCUUGAUGUUAGAUAUCUUACAGUCAUUUGAAAGGUUGGAGGUGACACAUGAACGCUGGCAAUGCAAAAUAGCAGAUAUAAAAUAACUGCAGCUCAGGCCUUGUAGUUCUACAACAACCAAGGAAGAAGUCUGUUUUUUAAGCCGACCUCGGCCAAGCAAUUUAAGCUUAUAUGGGUGCUCUCUAUUUUUCAGAGUGUUGGUUCUGGGUUUAGAAUCAAUUUAAUAUGUGGAUUGAUAUCCCACCAACCACAAAACGGAAUUUCUUCUUUGAUAUUCUGCUGGUUUUCUGGUUGAGGAUUUCCAACAAGAGUGAAUGUAUAAUCCAGCCAACCAACCCAAGAUGUUUACCAGCACCAUCACGAUGAUCUUUCUCAGCCUGCUCGACCCAAUCAGUCUUCUAAUAUUCAUCUCAUGGAGGGUCAAGAAAAAGACGUAAAACCAUAGCUUGCUUCUUGGUUCCAGUUUCUGCAGCCACCAUUGAUAAGCAUGGGGCUGAGCAAAUGAGUAUCAAAGGGAAGUCAAGGAAACUUCGUCCUCUAGGCUGGUUGCGAUUUAGUUCUCCAGCAGCUUCAACGCCAAGAUGAGGAGGUGGGAGAGGUGCCGUCCAAGGAGGUCAGGGGAGGAGGGCAACAAGGCUGGGGAGCGGAGGCGGAGGCUGACACGGAAGAGAAUGAUCAAGCAUGUAAAUCUAGAGCACAAGCUCAUGAUUUAUCAAGGGAGUGGCGCUGCCGCCGGAGUAGAAAAUCAUAUCUCACAUUAAGGUGUUUUUGUCUUUUGUUUUUGUACAAAUUUGGUGCAGGCAAAAUUUUGAUGGUACAUAUAAGAUGACUAGCAUUAUCUUUUUACUGAGUGCAUGUUCGGGUACCA